AUUGAGUUGGAAAGGUAUCUGGAGGAUGGUCCUGAAGAUGAUGUUUUUAGAUUUAACAUUCUCACUUUUUGGAAAGUAAACUCAAAUAAAUAUCAUGUUCUUUCCCGCAUAGCACGCGAUAUAUUGUCUAUUCCUGUAUUCACAGUUCUUUCCCUCUAUUGUUGAAGCUUUGAUCUGCACCCAAAAUUGGAUCAAAUCUCCCAAGGUCAUUGAUUUAGAUGCCGAGUUGAUUGAAGUGGAAAAGAUCGAGUUAGAGUUGGCUGGAUUAGUUACUAUUGAUGUCGGCGUUACUUCAACUGAGCUUAACACGAUCACUAAUACCGGAAAUUAAGCUGUGUUGUUGCUACUGAAUAUGCUGUUGCUGAUGAUGUUUUUUGUGCUGCUACUGGAAUUGUGUCUUGUUGUUGCUGAUGGUGUAUUUUUUGUUGAUGUGAUGCGACUGGAUUCAUUGUUGUUGUGAUGAUGUUUGUUGCUACUGCAUUUUAUGUUGCUGCUACUGUUUUUAAUUUUGA
This is a long non-coding RNA of Medicago truncatula (barrel medic), 512 nucleotides long. RefSeq lists it as uncharacterized. The transcript has 3 exons. The record is from RefSeq and is a predicted model, not a curated record. Lineage: Eukaryota; Viridiplantae; Streptophyta; Magnoliopsida; Fabales; Fabaceae.